CNGAUAGCUUGCAGUCUCUCCAGGGAGCUGA
RNAcentral lists this non-coding RNA (31 nucleotides) under Homo sapiens (human). Lineage: Eukaryota; Metazoa; Chordata; Mammalia; Primates; Hominidae. The record is from RNAcentral.